CCCCUCCCUCGCCCUCCUCCCUUUCCUCCCUCCCCUUCUCCUCACCCUUAGCUCCCCGGGGCGCAGCCCAGAUUGCCCAGGACUCGGGGGACCAUGCCAGGAGGGCUCCAAUAGCACCCUGUCAACCAGGCACUUCCAGGAGUUACCCUGGAGCGGCCUCACCUGUGUUUUCAGGUGAUGGCCAAAACCUGAUGGAGGUCAGAGCUACUCCCCGGGGGGUGUCCCCAGCCACCAGCCCCACCCUCGACCUCCCUCUGUGAACCAAGCCAAGAGAAACCGAAAUCGUGGAGAAAGUUGCUUGGCUACUGCUGCGCAAGGGUGAAGCGGGGUGAAGAGUCCCGCCCUGGAGCAGAGCUGGCCCUGGGGACCCAGCUGAUGAAGCACUCUGGGUUCAAGGUCACAGCCGGCUUGCACUCAGGUGAAAGGCCCCAGGGUCCACACUCAGAAUCCACGCCGCACCCAUUAAGGGCCCAGAAGAUCUGAUGACAUCCUCAGCUUGAAGUGUCUUUACCCACGCGGUCACUCACACGGCACAGUGAACCCCCGGUUUGACGAGAGCUGGAGUCAACGUUCUGUCCUUAGUUGAAGGGGUGAUUACGGUCAAGUUUUGACUAGUUCUGGGGCUGUCCUUGCAGAAGCGGCUUGGGUCUGCCGUCACAUGACCAGCUUUUGUUUUCUGACCUCUCUGUUUGCCAACUGACCAGUUUGACCAGAAGUUUCUCCAGCUCCGAGGCGCAGCACGUAGGGGGAGCAGAAAAGGUGGAGAGGGAUGGGAAGGCCCUGAGGAGGAGCUGGGUCUGCCUGCCUCACAGCACCGGCAUCACCUCAUGGCGCCCACUGUGUAUGUAAACCAGGCAGAGACAGGCCAAACUCAACUUCACCUGGGGCUUUCCACGUCCACCUCUUUUUCACCCAAAAAUGGGAACACAGAAUGUCUUGUCCACCGGAGGUGGAGGGAGGGGUAAGUUCCCAAAAAGCAUGUUGCCUUUUUUUUUUUGUCUGAAUCACUAUAGUUUCUUCCCCAAAGGUUGUGUUUUUAAAGUCAUCUGGGGGGUUUACAAAUAAACCACCCUCCGGCCUCA
Molecule: long non-coding RNA, 1082 nt
Organism: Peromyscus leucopus (white-footed mouse)
Lineage: Eukaryota; Metazoa; Chordata; Mammalia; Rodentia; Cricetidae
Exons: 2
Source: RefSeq, a predicted model, not a curated record